RNA transcript from Corylus avellana, 1697 nucleotides. It is a transcript of the gene named origin recognition complex subunit 4, with no coding region annotated. Lineage: Eukaryota; Viridiplantae; Streptophyta; Magnoliopsida; Fagales; Betulaceae. The record is from RefSeq and is a predicted model, not a curated record.
UCUGGUGUGUUCACACUCGUUGAGCGGAGGGUUUCAACAAUGGGACGAGAGAGUGCGGCGGAGGAAGCGCUAAAGCUUAUCCGAAGCAGACUCUGUGACCCUAGUUUUGUCUUCAGGGCUUUUUCUGAUUCUCCGGAGAGCAAUUACAGCAAAUUGAAGUUCAUAAUAUCAAGUUCAGUCACCGAGGCAUGCAACAACUCGAUCCUGCUUCUUGGCCCCCGUGGUUCUGGGAAAAUCGCGGUGCUGGAGCUUGUUCUCAAAGACUUGUUGCUGGAAUAUGCCGAUAUGAUUUCAGUCAUAAGGUUGAAUGGCCUUUUGCACCGUGAUGACAAUUGCGCUUUCAAGGAAAUUGCUAGACAGUUAUGUGUAGAGCAUCAACUGAUAUUCUCAAAAAUGGCAUCAUUUGAUGAUAACUCCCAAUUCAUGAUAGCCAUGUUAAGGGAGUGUGGAUUAGCGCAUAAAACAAUUAUUUUUGUGCUGGAUGAGUUUGACCUGUUUGCUCAGGGAAAGCAACGAGUACUUUAUAGUUUGCUAGAUGCAAUGCAAUCAGUAACAUCUCAAGCUGUUGUCAUUGGUGUGAGUUGCCGACUGGAUGCUGAUCAGCUUUUGGAAAAAAGAGUAAGAUCUCGUUUUUCACAUAGAAAGCUUCUGUUUCUUCCUCCCUCUCAGGGAGACAUAGAGAGAUUGUUGGAGCACAUUUUCUCAUUGCCAAUAGACUCAACCCUUCCUCAUGACUAUGCUGUUGAAUUUAAUGCUAAACUUCAAAAUAUGUUAGCAGAUGAUAAAUUCAAACAAACUAUUAAUACACAUAUGAAUUCUGAUGCCUCUGUGAACGACCUGUUGAGGUUUCUAUUUCGGGCUGUUUCUUAUAUGGAUUCGGGAUCUGGGCUCCUAUCACUUGAGUAUUUCAAAACUGCUCUCUCAAAUAUCCAAAGACAGCCAAAGUUGGAAUGUAUAAAAGAUUGCUCAGUCUUGGAACUUUAUGUUCUGGUAUGCAUGAAGAGGUUGGAAGUUAAAGAGAAAAAUUCAUACAACUUUAAUGCUGUAAUGAAAGAGUACAAGAGCAUACAUGAUUCUUUCAUGACGUCUGAUUAUUAUGCACAAAAUGUGUGCUUACGGGCAUUUGAACACCUUCUUCAUCGUGAAUUAAUCUGUUUUACAGACAAUAGAGCAUAUAAUCAAUCUGUUGAAUUUCGUCCAGUGAAGCUUCUAAUCUCAUUCCAUGAACUACAUCAGGGGCUAAAAUCAUAUCGUUCCUGUCCUGCCAUUCUUCUUAAGUUAAUGGAUCGCGAAGCUUAGUACAUUCAAGGGACAGAUUGAUGGUUGCUGAUUGUGUGAUGAUCGAAGAAUGUGGAUUCUACCAUUAUCAGUAAUCCUUUGAGGAAAAUUUCACUAUAUUUUAAGGAUUAGUGAAACUCAUUUCACAGCUUAGUUGCUAUCCCCCGCCAUCUUCAUUGCAUUUUUGCUUUUGGCGAAGCAGUCCACCACUCAUGACUUAGCCAGAUGAAAGGUGCACCUACUGCUACGUCCCAAGUACCCCCUUCCCUCCUUUUUGCUUACGUGCAUCUUAUAUGUACCACAUGCAUUACGCUAUAGCUGGACUCAAACUCGUUGACCAGAAAUCUCUGUGGAUGACAAUAUAGCCGGACGUUUGAUGAUAUUUUGAAAUCUUGAAAAGUUCUUCUCCAACUCAUUUA